Molecule: ribosomal RNA, 1267 nt
Filed under: Escherichia coli
Lineage: Bacteria; Pseudomonadati; Pseudomonadota; Gammaproteobacteria; Enterobacterales; Enterobacteriaceae
Description: partial 23S ribosomal RNA
Rfam family: Bacterial large subunit ribosomal RNA
Source: RNAcentral
GGGUUGUGAGGUUAAGCGACUAAGCGUACACGGUGGAUGCCCUGGCAGUCAGAGGCGAUGAAGGACGUGCUAAUCUGCGAUAAGCGUCGGUAAGGUGAUAUGAACCGUUAUAACCGGCGAUUUCCGAAUGGGGAAACCCAGUGUGAUUCGUCACACUAUCAUUAACUGAAUCCAUAGGUUAAUGAGGCGAACCGGGGGAACUGAAACAUCUAAGUACCCCGAGGAAAAGAAAUCAACCGAGAUUCCCCCAGUAGCGGCGAGCGAACGGGGAGCAGCCCAGAGCCUGAAUCAGUAUGUGUGUUAGUGGAAGCGUCUGGAAAGGCGCGCGAUACAGGGUGACAGCCCCGUACACAAAAAUGCACAUGCUGUGAGCUCGAUGAGUAGGGCGGGACACGUGGUAUCCUGUCUGAAUAUGGGGGGACCAUCCUCCAAGGCUAAAUACUCCUGACUGACCGAUAGUGAACCAGUACCGUGAGGGAAAGGCGAAAAGAACCCCGGCGAGGGGAGUGAAAAAGAACCUGAAACCGUGUACGUACAAGCAGUGGGAGCACAGAGCAAUCUGUGUGACUGCGUACCUUUUGUAUAAUGGGUCAGCGACUUAUAUUCUGUAGCAAGGUUAACCGAAUAGGGGAGCCGAAGGGAAACCGAGUCUUAACUGGGCGUUAAGUUGCAGGGUAUAGACCCGAAACCCGGUGAUCUAGCCAUGGGCAGGUUGAAGGUUGGGUAACACUAACUGGAGGACCGAACCGACUAAUGUUGAAAAAUUAGCGGAUGACUUGUGGCUGGGGGUGAAAGGCCAAUCAAACCGGGAGAUAGCUGGUUCUCCCCGAAAGCUAUUUAGGUAGCGCCUCGUGAAUUCAUCUCCGGGGGUAGAGCACUGUUUCGGCAAGGGGGUCAUCCCGACUUACCAACCCGAUGCAAACUGCGAAUACCGGAGAAUGUUAUCACGGGAGACACACGGCGGGUGCUAACGUCCGUCGUGAAGAGGGAAACAACCCAGACCGCCAGCUAAGGUCCCAAAGUCAUGGUUAAGUGGGAAACGAUGUGGGAAGGCCCAGACAGCCAGGAUGUUGGCUUAGAAGCAGCCAUCAUUUAAAGAAAGCGUAAUAGCUCACUGGUCGAGUCGGCCUGCGCGGAAGAUGUAACGGGGCUAAACCAUGCACCGAAGCUGCGGCAGCGACGCUUAUGCGUUGUUGGGUAGGGGAGCGUUCUGUAAGCCUGUGAAGGUGUGCUGUGAGGCAUGCUGGAGGUAUCAGAAGUGCGAAUG